AGUUGCAUGACGUAGACCCGAAACCGGGUGACCUAUCCAUGGGCAGGUUGAAGUGGAAGUAAAAUUUCAUGGAGGACCGAACCAGACGUCUGUUGAAAAAGGCGGGGAUGACCUGUGGAUAGCGGAGAAAUUCCAAUCGAACCCGGAGAUAGCUGGUUCUCCUCGAAAUAGCUUUAGGGCUAGCCUCGCAUUAGUUUACCGGAGGUAGAGCACUGAAUGGUCUAGGGGGCCUCACCGCCUACCGAAACCUAUCAAACUGCGAAUGCCGGAUAAAUGAUGUGCGGGAGUCAGGCCGCGAGAGAUAAGUUCCGCGGUCAAAAGGGGAACACCCCAGAUCGUCUGCUAAGGUCCCCAAGUACGCGUUAAGUGGGAAAGGAUGUUGGAUUGCACAGACAACCAGGAUGUUGGCUUAGAAGCAGCCACACAUUCAAAGAGUGCGUAAUAGCUCACUGGUCGAGUGAUCCAGCGCCGAAAAUGUAACGGGGCUAAAACGCGACACCGAAGCAGCGGGAUGCGUAAGCAUCGGUAGAGGAGCAUUGUGUGAGGAUAGAAGCCAGAGCGGGAGCACUGGUGGACUUCACAGAAGAGAGAAUGCCGGUAUGAGUAGCGAGACCCAUGCGAGAAACAUGGGCGUCGAAGGCCCAAGGUUUCCUGGGGAAGGUUCAUCCACCCAGGGUAAGUCGGGACCUAAGCCGAGGACUGAGGUCGUAGGCGAUGGACAGCAGGUAGAGAUUCCUGCACCACUUACACUUGUUUGACGAAGCAGUGACACAGAAGGAUAGGACGAGCGCGGUGAUGGUCAACCGCGUAGGCGGCACGAGGCUGGGGAGCAGUAAAGCACACUUCCCGCGAAGGCUGAGUGCUGACAGGACCGAAAAAGAGUAGGGAAGCGUCUGAGUUCACGCUGGCGAGAAAAGCUGCUAAGGAGAGUGUGAGUGCCCGUACCGGAAACCGACGCAGGUGGGCGAGGAGAGAAUCCUGAGACGGACGGGAGAACUCUUGUUAAGGAACUCGGCAAAAUGACCCCGUAACUUCGGGAGAAGGGGUGCCUCGAAAGAGGCCGCAGAGAAUAGUCACAAGCGACUGUUUAGCAAAAACACAGGUAUCUGCGAAAGCGAGAGCUGACGUAUAGGUGCUGACGCCUGCCCGGUGCUGGAAGGUUAAGGGGAAGUGUUAGGGGGAACCCGAAGCAGAGAACCGAAGCCCCAGUAAACGGCGGCCGUAACUAUAACGGUCCUAAGGUAGCGAAAUUCCUUGUCGGGUAAGUUCCGACCCGCACGAAUGGCGUAACGACUUGUGAGCUGUCUCAACAGGAGGCCCGGUGAAAUUGAAGUAUGUGUGAAGAUGCACAUUACCCGCGACUGGACGGAAAGACCCCGUAGAGCUUUACUGUAACCUGACAUUGGAUCUUGAUAACGGAUGCACAGGAUAGGUGGGACGCUGGGAGGUAUGGACUUUGGUCUGUACGGAGCGGACGUUGGGAUACCACUCUUCUGUUAUUGAGAUUCUAACCUCAAGCCGUAAGCCGGAUGAGAGACAGUGUCAGGCGGACAGUUUGACUGGGGCGGUCGCCUCCGAAAGAGUAACGGAGGCGCCCAAAGGUACCCUCAGAAUGGAUGGAAACCAUUCGAAGAGAGCAAAGUCAGAAGGGUGCUUGACUGCGAGACCAACAAGUCGAGCAGGUACGAAAGUAGGGCUUAGUGAUCCGGCGGUAAGAGAGUGGAAUUGCCGUCGCUCAACGGAUAAAAGCUACCUCGGGGAUAACAGGCUGAUCUCCCCCAAGAGUUCACAUCGACGGGGAGGUUUGGCACCUCGAUG
Molecule: ribosomal RNA, 1818 nt
Filed under: gut metagenome
Description: bacterial LSU rRNA
Rfam family: Bacterial large subunit ribosomal RNA
Source: RNAcentral